GUGCUCGCUUGUGCAGCACAUAUAGUAAAAUAAGAACGAUACAGAGAAGAUUAGCAUGGCCCCUUCGCAAGGAUGACAUGCAAAUUUGUGAAGCAUUCAUAUUUUUU
This 107-nucleotide small nuclear RNA is filed under the name Mus spicilegus (steppe mouse). Lineage: Eukaryota; Metazoa; Chordata; Mammalia; Rodentia; Muridae. The record is from RNAcentral.